GAUGAACGCUGGCGGCGUGCCUAAUACAUGCCAGUCGAGCGAACAGACGAGGAGCUUGCUCCUCUGACGUUAGCGGCGGACGGGUGAGUAACACGUGGAUAACCUACCUAUAAGACUGGGAUAACUUCGGGAAACCGGAGCUAAUACCGGAUAAUAUAUUGAACCGCAUGGUUCAAUAGUGAAAGACGGUUUUGCUGUCACUUAUAGAUGGAUCCGCGCCGCAUUAGCUAGUUGGUAAGGUAACGGCUUACCAAGGCAACGAUGCGUAGCCGACCUGAGAGGGUGAUCGGCCACACUGGAACUGAGACACGGUCCAGACUCCUACGGGAGGCAGCAGUAGGGAAUCUUCCGCAAUAGGCGAAAGCUUGACGGAGCAACGCCGCGUGAGUGAUGAAGGUCUUCGGAUCGUAAAACUCUGUUAUUAGGGAAGAACAAAUGUGUAAGUAACUAUGCACGUCUUGACGGUACCUAAUCAGAAAGCCACGGCUAACUACGUG
Molecule: ribosomal RNA, 497 nt
Filed under: uncultured bacterium
Lineage: Bacteria
Description: partial 16S ribosomal RNA
Rfam family: Bacterial small subunit ribosomal RNA
Source: RNAcentral